RNAcentral lists this ribosomal RNA (370 nucleotides) under Physarum bivalve. RNAcentral's name for it is "SSU rRNA". It matches the Rfam family "Eukaryotic small subunit ribosomal RNA", at positions 76 to 405 of the family's 1831-position model. The record is from RNAcentral. Lineage: Eukaryota; Evosea; Eumycetozoa; Physariida; Physaraceae.
UCUCUCUGAAUCUGCGAACGGCUCCGCAAACCAGUUGUAAACCAUAGCGAGCAUGUCCCUGGGCGGACCGCAAGGCGAGCUCAGGGGCGAUAAGGAUAACCCUGGUAAUUCUGAGGCUAAUACAAGAACGUAAAACCUGGCUGACCGGCAACGGGAGGUUGGGGGGCGUGCGACAUAUGCAAAAGAUAACUGGGAAUGGGUGCACGUUCAGACCGCCAUCCAAACGGUAGCGCUGGUUCGCCAGUGCGUCCGGGCGGCUCUCGCGUUGUGCUUCUGACCUAUCAACUAGAUGGCAGCGUAAGGGACAUGCUAUGGUGACAACGGGUACAGAGGAUAAGGGUUCGAUCCUGGAGAGUGGGCCUGAGAGAUU